AGGAGAGAGAGACAGAGAGCCUGCUUGCUUUAAAGGAGCAAAGCGGGAGAGGAGACUAGAGGAGCCGCUUACACGAGUGUAAGCGGCUCCUGUCCGGUUGGCUCCUUUAAAGCAAGCAGGCUCUCUGUCUCUCUCUCCU
Molecule: microRNA precursor, 139 nt
Filed under: Podarcis lilfordi (Lilford's wall lizard)
Lineage: Eukaryota; Metazoa; Chordata; Lepidosauria; Squamata; Lacertidae
Source: RNAcentral